This 460-nucleotide ribosomal RNA is filed under the name uncultured bacterium. Its description in RNAcentral is "partial 16S ribosomal RNA". It matches the Rfam family "Bacterial small subunit ribosomal RNA", at positions 338 to 795 of the family's 1533-position model. The record is from RNAcentral.
CCUACGGGAGGCAGCAGUGAGGAAUAUUGGUCAAUGGGCGGAAGCCUGAACCAGCCAAGUAGCGUGCAGGAUGACGGCCCUACGGGUUGUAAACUGCUUUUAUACGGGAAUAACGCGCCUUACGUGUAGGGCUUUGCAUGUACCGUAUGAAUAAGGACCGGCUAACUCCGUGCCAGCAGCCGCGGUAAUACGGAAGGUCCGGGCGUUAUCCGGAUUUAUUGGGUUGAAAGGGAGCGUAGGCGGAAUGUCAAGGCUGCUGUGAAAUGUCCGGGCUCAACCCGGGCCUUGCAGGGGAAACUGGCGUGCUUGAGUCCGCGAGAGGCAGGCGGAAUUCGUGGUGUAGCGGUGAAAUGCUUAGAUAUGACGAAGAACACCGAUUGCGAAGGCAGCUUGCUGGAGCGGAACUGACGCUGAUGCUCGAAAGCGCGGGUAUCGAACAGGAUUAGAUACCCUGGUAGUC